This 72-nucleotide transfer RNA is filed under the name Bos taurus (domestic cattle). It matches the Rfam family "tRNA". From Rfam's summary of the family: Transfer RNA (tRNA) molecules are approximately 80 nucleotides in length. Their secondary structure includes four short double-helical elements and three loops (D, anti-codon, and T loops). Further hydrogen bonds mediate the characteristic L-shaped molecular structure. tRNAs have two regions of fundamental functional importance: the anti-codon, which is responsible for specific mRNA codon recognition, and the 3' end, to which the tRNAs corresponding amino acid is attached (by aminoacyl-tRNA synthetases). tRNAs cope with the degeneracy of the genetic code in two manners: having more than one tRNA (with a specific anti-codon) for a particular amino acid; and 'wobble' base-pairing, i.e. permitting non-standard base-pairing at the 3rd anti-codon position. The record is from Rfam by way of RNAcentral. RNAcentral also lists the same sequence under 2 other names. Lineage: Eukaryota; Metazoa; Chordata; Mammalia; Artiodactyla; Bovidae.
UUCCUGGCAGUCCAGUGGUUAGGACUCGGUGUUUUCACUGCUGAGGCCUGGGUUCAAUCCAUGGCUGGGAAA